Molecule: ribosomal RNA, 253 nt
Filed under: uncultured bacterium
Lineage: Bacteria
Description: partial 16S ribosomal RNA
Rfam family: Bacterial small subunit ribosomal RNA
Source: RNAcentral
UACGUAGGUGGCAAGCGUUGUCCGGAAUUAUUGGGCGUAAAGAGCUCGUAGGCGGUCUGUCGCGUCGGCUGUGAAAUCCCGAGGCUCAACCUCGGGUCUGCAGUCGAUACGGGCAAACUAGAGUAUUGCAGGGGAGACUGGAAUUCCUGGUGUAGCGGUGAAAUGCGCAGAUAUCAGGAGGAACACCGGUGGCGAAGGCGGGUCUCUGGGCAAUAACUGACGCUGAGGAGCGAAAGCGUGGGGAGCGAACAGG